GUAGGUGGCAAGCGUUGCCCGGAAUUAUUGGGCGUAAAGCGCGCGCAGGCGGUUCUUUAAGUCUGAUGUGAAAGCCCACGGCUCAACCGUGGAGGGUCAUUGGAAACUGGAGAACUUGAGUACAGAAGAGGAAAGCGGAAUUCCACGUGUAGCGGUGAAAUGCGUAGAGAUGUGGAGGAACACCAGUGGCGAAGGCGGCUUUCUGGUCUGUAACUGACGCUGAGGCGCGAAAGCGUGGGGAGCAAACAGGAUUAGAUACCCUGGUAGUCCACGCCGUAAACGAUGAGUGCUAAGUGUUAGGGGGGUUUCCGCCCCCCUUAGUGCUGCAGCUAACGCAUUAAGCACUCCGCCUGGGAGUACGGCCGCAAGGCUG
RNAcentral lists this ribosomal RNA (373 nucleotides) under uncultured organism. RNAcentral describes it as "partial 16S ribosomal RNA". It matches the Rfam family "Bacterial small subunit ribosomal RNA", at positions 527 to 896 of the family's 1533-position model. The record is from RNAcentral.